CAGGCUAGGGAAAAUAAUUGGAU
RNAcentral lists this microRNA (23 nucleotides) under Pteropus alecto (black flying fox). RNAcentral describes it as "pal-miR-664a-5p". Its record names the gene pal-miR-664a-5p. The record is from miRBase by way of RNAcentral. Lineage: Eukaryota; Metazoa; Chordata; Mammalia; Chiroptera; Pteropodidae.